GGGAGGAUUUUGAUGAACUGAUACGCCAGCAC
This 32-nucleotide non-coding RNA is filed under the name Syntrophotalea carbinolica DSM 2380. The record is from RNAcentral. Lineage: Bacteria; Pseudomonadati; Thermodesulfobacteriota; Desulfuromonadia; Desulfuromonadales; Syntrophotaleaceae.